RNAcentral lists this long non-coding RNA (225 nucleotides) under Elaeis guineensis (African oil palm). Its description in RNAcentral is "long non-coding RNA (EGUI_LNC040563)". The record is from RNAcentral. Lineage: Eukaryota; Viridiplantae; Streptophyta; Magnoliopsida; Arecales; Arecaceae.
CUAAGGGUUGAGCUGAGGUGAAGAGCAAUCUGAGCAAAAGUAAAGAUCAAAUCAGUCUGAGAUGAAGAUCAAAGCUGAACCGAAGUAAAGAUCAAAUCAAUCUAAAGUGAAGCUCAAGGCCGAGUUGAAGUAAAAGUCAAAUUGAUCGUAGGUGAAGAUCAAGGCUGAAUUGAAGUAAAGAUCCAAUCAAUCCAAAGUGAAGCUCAAAGCUAUGCCGAAGUAAAG